This is an RNA transcript of Triticum dicoccoides, 4274 nucleotides long. RefSeq lists it as uncharacterized. The transcript is spliced from 6 exons. NCBI's taxonomy places the organism in Eukaryota, Viridiplantae, Streptophyta, Magnoliopsida, Poales, Poaceae. The record is from RefSeq and is a predicted model, not a curated record.
CAAACCCUCCCCCAAUCACCAAAGCCGCCGCACGCCUCCCUCCUUCCUCCUCGCCCGCACCCCUGCCGCGGCGCCCAUCCCUCCCAGCCCUCCCAUCUUCGCGUUUCUCCUCCUCCCAGAACUACCUCCCGUCGCUUAGGCUCCAUGGCGGCGGCCGGCUCGAGGCGAGCCUGGCGCAGGCGGGCGGAAGCAGCGGGGAGCAACGGAUGCGGGUGGGAGAGUGCCGGACGGCGCCGUCAUUGUUCAUUGUCGCCCCGCUAAGCCGCAUCGAAGAAGGACCAGGACCUCACCCCUCAACCCUCGUCCCUCUUCCCUUCUGGAUGCACCUCCCCGCAUGAGUUCCUCCUGCCUAAUUCGGCUCCCCUUUCCAUCUAAUUUCAUUCUUGUUUCACAUGUUGGUUUGGUCGGUAAGAGACGUUGCGCCGCCGACUGCAGUAGCCAGGAUUGGUGUUGGUGAUGUCUGUACGUACCAGUUACACAAUUCCAGGUUAUGGGAUUGGAUCUCCAUUUUCCAAGAUUCUUAGCUGAUAAGUAUAUUGUGCGGCAAAAUCUCUAGGCCAGCGCUAGGCGCCGGUGCGCCGGCCCAAAUUUGGGCCGGUCGCGCCCUAGCCAUCCGAUCCAAUUCAUCUAGGCCAUCAGUUCCUUAUCCAAAAAGCUGCUUCAUCCCUUCCCCCCUCGUGUGUCUCUCCUCUGUGUUGUCUUCCUCACCUCGCCACGCAGCUCCACCCCGUUCCCAGACAGCCGUUGCCUCCGCCCCCGCCGGCUUGCCUCGCCGUCGACACGCGCCGCCGUCACCGGUCGCCUUUUUUACCCGCUCUGCUGCACGCCGGCAGCACCUCCCCUACACUUCUCCCUCGCCCUUUGUGGUCAUGGGUUGCCGUCGUUGGCCGCGGCAGCUCUGCUCGCCGGCAAUAGUACGACGCUUCCUCGUCCCUCGCUGGUUCCAGCAAAACAAGUAAGUGGUUGGAACAUUGUGCCCCUACCGGUGCCGCCCCAGCAUGGAUGGAACGAUGGAGACGACGAAGUAACUCGCAAAAAUCACAAUAUGUGGUUCCAGCAAAAAAUUGUGCUGGUUGUAGCAUCUCAUGUCGCUGGUUGAAGCUCGCCGUGCACCAUUAGUAGCCUCGAUCUUCUCUGGUUCCAGCAAAAAUGGACUAUGUUUGUAACAAAUGGUGUUGCCGAUUGCAGCUCCGCAUCACGGUGGUCGUAGCAUUUCGCCGCAUGUAGCAGCUCCGCCGUUGCCUGACGCAACCCCGUCGCUUUCUCUGGUUCCAGCAAAAAUGGUCAACGGUUGUAACAAAUGUUGUUGCAGGUUGCAGCUCCGCAGUACGUCGGUCGUACGUCGUCGCCUGACACAACCCCGCCGCUUUCUCUGGUUCCAGCAAACAAAGUCGCCGGAUGUAGCUUUUUGAGCUGCUGGUUGCAGCUCGAUUGCACGCAGUAGCAGCUUCCCAGCAUCUCUGAUGGUGGUUCGAGCAAAAAAUAAAUUGGUUGUAGCAUCUGUGGGGCUGGUCCCAGCAUGCGUCCCCUACGGUCCGCAAACAUUGGUUGGCUUUCGUCUACGGCGACACCUCGGACGCCUGGUUGCAACAUAGAGGGCCACCCAUCUCUUGUCCCAUGGCUGGAGAGGGGAAAAAGCCGAGGAGGAAGUGUGGGGGUGGCCGCCAGUUCGCUGGAGUAGGACAAAUAGAUGACGGCCUCGGUUUCACGCCCGGUGGUGCAGGGCGGUGGCCGGAGACCGAUGCUCUCACAACAACUUCCGCUCGCGGGAUGGAGGGGAUGGGUUAUGGUCGUGAGCGGGAGAUGCAGUUUGCAUCGCGACGGGAUCUGAAGAAAAGAGACGAGUGGAAGACAACACACAAGGGCUGUAGGAUUGCCUUCGAUCCAACGAAGCGCGCGCGUCCGGCGCAACGCUUCGACCGGCGCACCGGCAGCAAACGUUUCCCAAAUCUCUAUGUACUGAUGUUGUGCACAUCCAAAUACAAGCAAUCGGCGAAGAUUUCAUCCUCAACCUCCCUCACGACCCCAGAUUGGGGACAUGGCGUGAAGAUAUGGUUUUGUGAUCUAUGGUCUUGGGUCAUCCGUUGGAUGGGUGAUAAUGGAAAUUUUCUUGAGGACAGACACGUGCAAGUUUUGUGAGAGUUAAACCUGUUUUAUGAGAGUUAAACCUGUUUUAUGAGAGUUAAAGCUAUUUUUUGAGAGUUAAACAUGUGCAUACGAAUGGAUUUUUUUUAGAACUGGUCAAACUAUUUUUUUGUAAGAGUUAAAGCUGUUUUCUUGAGGACAAACCCGUGAAUAAGUCUCAUCUGUAUAGAUUAAUUAAUAUAAUAGGACAACAAUUUAAGUUUAUUGAAGCUCUUUCUAAGAAGCGGGGGUCUGCUUUGGUUUCUUGUUGUUUGCCUAUUCUCUUAAAAACAGUUGACUGGAUGCAGCUGACGGGUUAUACAUCAAUAAUUUGGGCAGUUGGAUAUGGCAUUUACAAGUAAAGGAUUUCAGAAAUCUAAUAUGGCAUGCCUAUUUUUCAUGGAAAAACGAAUGGUACCUUAUUUACUAUUUAGUUUUUAAGCUAGACUAAUUUGACUACACGCUUCCUGAGGUGCCUUCUGUUUUUGAAUAGUCAUAGAAUUCUCCUGAUUACGAGAUGUUCCUUUGUCACUAUUUGAAUUUCUGCCUUGAGUGGCCUCUGUCUUGGUUUACAGCUCCAUAUGGCUACUUAUGUAUAACAUAUGGAGGUCCUGUUUGAACUGUUCUCAAAUAUGUUUACUACAGCAAAGUGGAAUAUGCAAAGUUUCUGUGUUGAUUAGGCAAAUACUUGCUUUGCCUUAAAUACUGUCCCCAUCUAUGUUCCAGGUUUUUUGGGUAUGAAUUAUUUCCCUGGAAUGGAUCAACACAUUUGCAUGGGAUUUUAGAAAAAUAUAUGUGAAUGCAUCUUUCUAAUAAAAGCAUUGCUUAAGAAAUACCCUUUUCUGAAAUCAAAAUUGUUGUUGGUCUUCUGAUCACUUUCAUUGUCUAUCAGAUAGGCUAUGGCUUCCAUAAGCUAGCAUCAUUAGGGUCAGGUCGUUGUGUUUAGUUUAUUUUCAGUGCCUUGCAAGUUAGUGGUUCCCAGAAGAUUGUAGCCUACCUUAUUAGCGUCGACUGGCAUAUUUAUCUUUCAAUGUCAUUGCUUAACCAUGCCUGGCUGACUGCUAUAUUUAUAUAUGCACAAAGUGCUUAUUCCUUUGGUGCUUCCAGAUUGUCAAGGUAUGAGCAGAGCAGCGAGGGAUGAGAAAUGGGGUAACUUAUCGUAGACAUACAGAAACGAAAAUAAAGCUAUGCACAGAGAAAAGGUGUAGAAUUGAUUGCUGGGCAUGAAUUCCGGCAUGGACCACUUUGCUUUGCUUUUGUCACAUUAAAAUUAAUCAUAUAUAGUAAUUUUUUUGUCCACAGUACUAUGAUCCAUCCAUCAUUGUUGGUUCACCAUUCUAAAGGAAAUAGACAAAGGUAAAAUCUUAGUGUACUUGAAUAUAUAGAUUUGUCUGAUUGUGUUGUAAUCUUAGUUUCCUUUUAUCUUUCUAUAUAUGAACCUGCUAUUAUGUGUCAUUGUGUUGUGGUCUUGACCAUCUGCAGCAAGGGUUAGGCAAAUAUUUAUCCUGUAAAAUGAGUUGCCGGUUCUUACCACGUGGUUGCUAUUUUAUUUUGCAAUUUUUAUGCAUCACAUGAUUACUUUUUUAAAAAGUGAUCUUAAUUCAUGGUCCUUAGUUUACUGAUCGUUCGGCGGCUCUGUGUACCAAUAUAGUGGUGCAUCUAGGAGGAAGGGAUCUAGAGACGACGAUGGACAAAACAAUCCUGCAGAGGCAGCAAGAGGCAGUUCUCGACAAAUCACUAUAAGCGCAAGGAUCCAAUGGAAGAAUUUGGUGAAGAACAAGGUCUCCAUCAUUUGGCGUCAAGGAAAGGAAGACCAUGUCAUCAUUUGGCCAGUGCAGGUCCCCAUGCCCCUGUAUCUGCCCUCGAAGCCGGGUUCCGCGAGCUAAGGUUGCAGGGGAGAAUGAACGUGCAAGUUUCCAGCAGCAAAGUUUUUUCUACAUUUGAUGGGUAGCUAAAUUAGUUUGAUUUCACGGAUGAUGGAGCCUUGCUGUGUGACGUAGUUCCUGGUGAAGAAAUAUUUGUUAGGUCUAUGUAUGUGUGUACUGGAGUUGGUGCAUCUCCAAGGAAGAACCAAACCCUUAUUCCUAUCUUACAAUAUUUUACACUUAAAUGCAAAUGCAAAGUGUUAGCUAUGUUAACUGUUGUUUCAA